RNAcentral lists this small nucleolar RNA (201 nucleotides) under Sorex araneus (European shrew). RNAcentral's name for it is "Small nucleolar RNA U3 (ENSSARG00000014644.1)". It matches the Rfam family "Small nucleolar RNA U3". Rfam says of the family: Small nucleolar RNAs (snoRNAs) are involved in the processing and modification of rRNA in the nucleolus. Lineage: Eukaryota; Metazoa; Chordata; Mammalia; Eulipotyphla; Soricidae. The record is from RNAcentral.
AAGAAUAUACUUUCAGGGAUCAUUUCUACAGUUUAUUACUAGAGAAGUUUCUCUGAUUCUGCAGAGCGCCUGAAACCAUGAGAAGAGCCAGAGGAUCAUCUCCUGAGCAUGAAACCUGUUCUAGGUAUUGCUUUUGCAGCUGCCUUUUACAUUGAUGAUCAUUCUUCUCUUCCCUAGGAGAAGGAGAGGAUGCAGUCUGAG